UACAUGGGGUGCAAACGUUGCUCGGAAUUAUUGGGCGUAAAGCGCACGUAGGCGGUUCGUUAAGUCGGAUGUGAAAGCCCUCGGCUCAACUGAGGAAGUGCACCCGAAACUGGCGAGCUUGAGUACGAAAGAGGAUCGCGGAAUUCCCGGUGUAGAGGUGAAAUUCGUAGAUAUCGGGAGGAACACCGGUGGCGAAGGCGGCGAUCUGGGUCGAUACUGACGCUGAGGUGCGAAAGCGUGGGGAGCAAACGGG
RNAcentral lists this ribosomal RNA (253 nucleotides) under uncultured bacterium. Its description in RNAcentral is "partial 16S ribosomal RNA". It matches the Rfam family "Bacterial small subunit ribosomal RNA", at positions 524 to 776 of the family's 1533-position model. The record is from RNAcentral.